UUAUUUUUUUCUUAAUUCAUUUUUUUUCCCUUGGUAUAACUUGGAACAAAUUUUUUUUCCCUUGGUAUAACUUGGAACAAAUUUUAUUUUUAAAAAGAAAAAAAAGGAAAAUAAUGGUCCACAGCUCCUACCCUCACCCCCAUGAGCCCAUCCCCACCACAAGGACAAGCUUACAGUUCCUGAAGGUGAGGCCAACAGCUGCUGAGGAGCAAGGACUCGUUCCAGCUGCUUCUAAACAAGGGGGCCAGGCCUCUGCCAGAGCCUUCUCCUUCCUGCCCUGUGUCAAGCUAUCCAAGCUUCCUCCUCAACCUUUACCCUGCCCUAUGCCCUGAAACUACCUGACACGUAUUUUCCUCUUGUACUUAAUUGAUAGUAGAAUUUCCCUCAUACAUGUCAAGUACUAUAAAUUCCCCUAGAACACAUCCCAUGUCUUCCACUGAUGAAGGGGAACACUGCCACAUUAUCAGUGAAUGAAGCUGCUAUCUUGAAAAGGGGUCGGCAUGACAAGUUAUGCUAGACAACUUAUGCCAAUGUAACUGCCCUCACCAGGGAGACACCGUCUUGAGCUUUGCCCCUUUGGCUUCUCCCACACCAGUGGAGCAGUUCACAAGGAGCCUG
Molecule: long non-coding RNA, 618 nt
Filed under: Homo sapiens (human)
Lineage: Eukaryota; Metazoa; Chordata; Mammalia; Primates; Hominidae
Description: non-protein coding lnc-PRSS48-2:1
Source: RNAcentral